RNAcentral lists this ribosomal RNA (253 nucleotides) under uncultured bacterium. RNAcentral describes it as "partial 16S ribosomal RNA". It matches the Rfam family "Bacterial small subunit ribosomal RNA", at positions 524 to 776 of the family's 1533-position model. The record is from RNAcentral.
UACAGAGGUCUCAAGCGUUGUUCGGAUUCAUUGGGCGUAAAGGGUGCGUAGGCGGCGCGGUAAGUCGGGUGUGAAAUUUCGAGGCUUAACUUCGAAACUGCAUUCGAUACUGCCGUGCUUGAGGACUGGAGAGGAGACUGGAAUUUACGGUGUAGCGGUGAAAUGCGUAGAUAUCGUAAGGAAGACCAGUGGCGAAGGCGGGUCUCUGGACAGUUACUGACACUGAGGCACGAAGGCCAGGGGAGCAAACGGG